This 450-nucleotide ribosomal RNA is filed under the name uncultured bacterium. RNAcentral describes it as "partial 16S ribosomal RNA". It matches the Rfam family "Bacterial small subunit ribosomal RNA", at positions 354 to 796 of the family's 1533-position model. The record is from RNAcentral.
GUGGGGAAUUUUGGACAAUGGGCGCAAGCCUGAUCCAGCCAUUCCGCGUGCAGGAUGAAGGCCUUCGGGUUGUAAACUGCUUUUGUACGGAACGAAAAGGUUCUCUCUAAUACAGGGGGCUGAUGACGGUACCGUAAGAAUAAGCACCGGCUAACUACGUGCCAGCAGCCGCGGUAAUACGUAGGGUGCAAGCGUUAAUCGGAAUUACUGGGCGUAAAGCGUGCGCAGGCGGUGAUGUAAGACAGAUGUGAAAUCCCCGGGCUCAACCUGGGAACUGCAUUUGUGACUGCAUUGCUGGAGUGCGGCAGAGGGGGAUGGAAUUCCGCGUGUAGCAGUGAAAUGCGUAGAUAUGCGGAGGAACACCGAUGGCGAAGGCAAUCCCCUGGGCCUGCACUGACGCUCAUGCACGAAAGCGUGGGGAGCAAACAGGAUUAGAUACCCGGGUAGUCC